GGGCAUAUAGUUCAGUGGUAGAGCACAUGCUUAGCUUGCAUGAGGUCCAAGUCCAAUCCCCAGUAUCUCCA
Molecule: transfer RNA, 71 nt
Filed under: Camelus bactrianus (Bactrian camel)
Lineage: Eukaryota; Metazoa; Chordata; Mammalia; Artiodactyla; Camelidae
Also listed under: 1 other name
Rfam family: tRNA
About the family: Transfer RNA (tRNA) molecules are approximately 80 nucleotides in length. Their secondary structure includes four short double-helical elements and three loops (D, anti-codon, and T loops).
Source: Rfam by way of RNAcentral